Molecule: ribosomal RNA, 987 nt
Filed under: uncultured Flavobacterium sp.
Lineage: Bacteria; Pseudomonadati; Bacteroidota; Flavobacteriia; Flavobacteriales; Flavobacteriaceae
Description: bacterial SSU rRNA
Rfam family: Bacterial small subunit ribosomal RNA
Source: RNAcentral
CCCUCCAUAAUAUGAUUGAAUGGCAUCAUUUAAUUAUUAAAACUCAGGUGGUAAAGGAUGGGCAUGCGUCUGAUUAGUUAGUUGGUGAGGUAACGGCUCACCAAGACGAUGAUCAGUAGGGGAACUGAGAGGUUGAUCCCCCACACUGGCACUGAGAUACGGGCCAGACUCCUACGGGAGGCAGCAGUAGGGAAUAUUGGACAAUGGGUGCAAGCCUGAUCCAGCCAUGCCGCGUGCAGGAAGAAGGCCUUCUGGGUUGUAAACUGCUUUUGUCAGGGGAUAAAAAGCCCAUGCGUGGGAAAUUGCAGGUACCUGAUGAAUAAGCCACGGCUAACUACGUGCCAGCAGCCGCGGUAAUACGUAGGUGGCAAGCGUUAUCCGGAAUCAUUGGGUUUAAAGGGUCCGUAGGCGGUUUUGUAAGUCAGUGGUGAAAGCCCAUCGCUCAACGGUGGAACGGCCAUUGAUACUGCAAGACUUGAAUUACUGGGAAGUAACUAGAAAUAUGUAGUGUAGCGGUGAAAUGCUUAGAGAUUACAUGGAAUACCAAUUGCGAAGGCAGGUUACUACCAGUGGAUUGACGCUGAUGGACGAAAGCGUGGGGAGCGAACAGGAUUAGAUACCCUGGUAGUCCACGCCGUAAACGAUGGAUACUAGCUGUUGGGGGCAACUUCAGUGGCUAAGCGAAAGUGAUAAGUAUCCCACCUGGGGAGUACGGGCGCAAGCCUGAAACUCAAAGGAAUUGACGGGGGCCCGCACAAGCGGUGGAGCAUGUGGUUUAAUUCGAUGAUACGCGAGGAACCUUACCAAGGCUUAAAUGUAGAUUGACCGAUUUGGAAACAGAUCUUUCGCAAGACAAUUUACAAGGUGCUGCAUGGUUGUCGUCAGCUCGUGCCGUGAGGUGUCAGGUUAAGUCCUAUAACGAGCGCAACCCCUGUUGUUAGUUGCCAGCGAGUCAUGUCGGGAACUCUAACGAGACUGCCAGUGCAA